CGCGUAGGUGGUUUUUUAAGUCGGAUGUGAAAUCCCCGGGCUUAACCUGGGAACUGCACCCGAUACUGGACGACUAGAGUGCGAGAGAGGGAGGUAGAAUUCCACGUGUAGCGGUGAAAUGCGUAGAUAUGUGGAGGAAUACCGGUGGCGAAGGCGGCCUCCUGGCUCGACACUGACGCUGAGGUGCGAAAGCGUGGGGAGCAGACA
This 207-nucleotide ribosomal RNA is filed under the name uncultured bacterium. RNAcentral describes it as "partial 16S ribosomal RNA". It matches the Rfam family "Bacterial small subunit ribosomal RNA", at positions 568 to 774 of the family's 1533-position model. The record is from RNAcentral.